RNAcentral lists this non-coding RNA (260 nucleotides) under Bacillota bacterium. RNAcentral's name for it is "Firmicutes bacterium T-box sequence". It matches the Rfam family "T-box leader". From Rfam's summary of the family: Uncharged tRNA acts as the effector for transcription antitermination of genes in the T-box leader family. T-boxes are found upstream of many aminoacyl-tRNA synthetase genes and some amino acid biosynthetic genes usually in Gram-positive bacteria. Lineage: Bacteria; Bacillati; Bacillota. The record is from RNAcentral.
GAAACGGCAAUGAAAAGAAGAGUACAUUUUCGGAGGCGGCAAAGAGAGCUUCAGAUGGUGAGAAGAAGUGCGUAGAAGAAAAUGGAAGAUGGUCUUGGAGCCUCGCACCGACUGCAGAAUCUGCACAGGCUGCGAUGGGAGCGCCCAUUACAGCGCCAGGAUAUAAGAAAUGCAUGGCAUUUCCGUAUCUGUCAGAGGUUUCUGGUUUACAGAAAUGAAAUAAGGUGGUACCACGAAGUAGAUAUACUCUCGUCCUUAGU